UGUCCCUUUGUACUCCCUACCUCGCCCCGCUCUUAAAAUUACAGAAUAAAUUCCUGGGAGGUUUUGUAGAGUUCGGGACGACAUUCCCCAGCUAACCUUUUGGUUGUGGUGUACGGAAAGGUUGAAUCUAUGAGGUGCUGGGGACCAUCAUGAAUGAAAAACACUGCGGUGUCCAAGGACGCUAGUUUGGUUGUCGCGUUCACUCUGAGCUUUCUCUGGACUUUAGGUCAAUCCAAGAUAACGCGCUGAGUAGGAGCGGGGUACCUUCUCUGGACCCAGAAAGAAAUAACCAUUUCUCCACCCCCAAUCUCACACACACCCCUUAGUCGCUCCCUCCAAAUGGUUAUCACAACUGUGUACAAACUGAUACGGUUCUUAGCGGGCCAAGGACUGGAAAUGAACACUGGCGGGGUUAUCAGUGCGGAUCUGUCAGCAGCGAGUGGCGCACUGCUUGUCCCAGGCAGCCGCAGUGGUGUACGUCUUAUUCCUUCGGGCCCACAAGAAGGAUUUCUUCCGACAAGCUGGACACUGGAAGGCUGAGGGAAGGGAAUUGAACAGGAGAAACAUUCUUAUGGGAGUGGAUUUUUACACGCACACCCCACGUAAAUUAAAUCACUGUGGCUUCAGUGUGACUUCGGAAAGGCUGAAAGUAGAAAACUCUGGAAUGGAGAGGCUGGCAACUGGAGCAGGAUUCGAAGGCUUUAAAUUUUAACCCGUGUUCGAUCGAAAGUUACUACCACAAGAGACUGGCACGGGCCGGCCCAAUUCCCACCAUGGCUUCCAGAGGCUUGCUUUGGGGUUGUCCGCUUGUUAUCUGGGCCACCCAAUGACCGACGAAAGAUCUUCCCUCACCACGUCUCCCAUCACCGCUUUAAACCAAAUAAAUUUAGCUAUUAAGGGCCAAGAUGUCUGACAAAAGAUCGAAAGGUGUCUCUCUGGGAUCCCUUAAAGAAGCCGAGAAGCUGGCUUAGCUCUCGAAUCCCGAUAAAGAAAUUCCAUGCCGGCGCCGGCCUCCCUCCGCAGCCUGCUUGCUUCAGACACCCUGAGAUCACUACCUCAAAGGUCCAUUGCGACCUGUGACUGCAACUGAGGCAUUGUCUCUGAGUCUCCUGGCCUGGGGAUGUUCGGGCAUUGGAACUAACCCUAACCCUGAUGCAAAAGCUGUGGUACCCAAACAUUCUGCCUGGCUUGCAGAAGAACCAAGGUCAAUAAAACAAACCCAAAGUGCCGUUUAAAUUUGCACCCCCACCCUUCUUUCCUUUAAGACAAAGCCUUCUAUUAUAUAUGACAGGCUGGCCUGGAGCUCGUGAUCCCCCAAGCCUCAGGCCUGUAGAGCAUUGAAAAUUACAAGUGCUUGUAGCCUUGUCCUACCUUCCUCCCCACCCCCACAAUAACUAAUAAAGGCAAAACCAAGUCA
Rattus rattus (black rat) is the source of this 1417-nucleotide long non-coding RNA. RefSeq lists it as uncharacterized. Lineage: Eukaryota; Metazoa; Chordata; Mammalia; Rodentia; Muridae. The transcript is spliced from 3 exons. The record is from RefSeq and is a predicted model, not a curated record.